Molecule: non-coding RNA, 121 nt
Organism: Tulasnella sp. 427
Lineage: Eukaryota; Fungi; Basidiomycota; Agaricomycetes; Cantharellales; Tulasnellaceae
Source: the annotation of a GenBank genome assembly
GGUGCGAUGGCCGAGCGGUCUAAGGCGCUGCAUUCAAGUCUGCAACAUGGCUUUCCGGAAUACAACUUCGGGGUACACUGCAGUAUCGAAAGAUGCGUGAGUUCGAAUCUCACUCGCACCA